Molecule: ribosomal RNA, 497 nt
Filed under: uncultured bacterium
Lineage: Bacteria
Description: partial 16S ribosomal RNA
Rfam family: Bacterial small subunit ribosomal RNA
Source: RNAcentral
GAUGCACGCUGGCGGCGUGCCUAAUACAUGCAAGUCGAGCGAACAGACGAGGAGCUUGCUCCUCUGACGUUAGCGGCGGACGGGUGAGUAACACGUGGAUAACCUACCUAUAAGACUGGGAUAACUUCGGGAAACCGGAGCUAAUACCGGAUAAUAUAUUGAACCGCAUGGUUCAAUAGUGAAAGACGGUUUUGCUGUCACUUAUAGAUGGAUCCGCGCCGCAUUAGCUAGUUGGUAAGGUAACGGCUUACCAAGGCAACGAUGCGUAGCCGACCUGAGAGGGUGAUCGGCCACACUGGAACUGAGACACGGUCCAGACUCCUACGGGAGGCAGCAGUAGGGAAUCUUCCGCAAUGGGCGAAAGCUUGACGGAGCAACGCCGCGUGAGUGAUGAAGGUCUUCGGAUCGUAAAACUCUGUUAUUAGGGAAGAACAAAUGUGUAAGUAACUAUGCACGUCUUGACGGUACCUAAUCAGAAAGCCACGGCUAACUACGUG